GAAGCUGACCAGACAGUCGCCGCUUCGUCGUCGUCCUUUCGGGGAGACGGGCGGAGGGGAGGAAAGUCCGGGCUCCAUAGGGCAGGGUGCCAGGUAACGCCUGGGGGGGAAACCCACGACCAGUGCAACAGAGAGCAGACCGCCGAUGGCCCACGUAAGUGGGAUCAGGUAAGGGUGAAAGGGUGCGGUAAGAGCGCACCGCGCGGCUGGUAACAGUCCGUGGCACGGUAAACUCCACCCGGAGCAAGGCCAAAUAGGGGUUCAUAAGGUACGGCCCGUACUGAACCCGGGUAGGCUGCUUGAGCCAGUGAGCGAUUGCUGGCCUAGAUGAAUGACUGUCCACGACAGAACCCGGCUU
RNAcentral lists this RNase P RNA (358 nucleotides) under Salmonella enterica. RNAcentral's name for it is "partial RNase P RNA component class A". It matches the Rfam family "Bacterial RNase P class A". From Rfam's summary of the family: Ribonuclease P (RNase P) is a ubiquitous endoribonuclease, found in archaea, bacteria and eukarya as well as chloroplasts and mitochondria. Its best characterised activity is the generation of mature 5'-ends of tRNAs by cleaving the 5'-leader elements of precursor-tRNAs. Cellular RNase Ps are ribonucleoproteins. Lineage: Bacteria; Pseudomonadati; Pseudomonadota; Gammaproteobacteria; Enterobacterales; Enterobacteriaceae. The record is from RNAcentral. RNAcentral also lists the same sequence under 1 other name.